This 468-nucleotide ribosomal RNA is filed under the name uncultured bacterium. RNAcentral describes it as "partial 16S ribosomal RNA". It matches the Rfam family "Bacterial small subunit ribosomal RNA", at positions 28 to 507 of the family's 1533-position model. The record is from RNAcentral.
GACGAACGCUGGCGGCGUGCUUAACACAUGCAAGUCGAACGGAAAGGCCCUGCUUUUGUGGGGUGCUCGUUUGGCGAACGGGUGUGUAACACGUGAGUAACCUGCCCUUGACUUUGGGAUAACUUCAGGAAACUGGGUCUAAUACCUGAUAGGAUCUCCUGCUGCAUGGUGGGGGUUGGAAAGUUUCGGCGGUUGGGGAUGGACUCGGGGGUUAUCUGCUUGUUGGUGGGGUAGUGGCUUACUACGGCAUUGACGGGUAGCCGGCUUGUGGGGGUGACCGGCCUCUUUGGGACUGGGGUACGGCCCUGACUCCUAUGGGGGGCAGCGGUGGAGAUUAUUGCUGAUUGGGCGGAGGCCUAAUGCAGCAACGCCGCGUGUGAGAUGUCGGGCGUUUGGUAGUGAUCCGCAUUCGCUUGUGACGAGGCGUGAGGGACGUUAAUGGGUCAAGAAGCACCGGCUAACUACGUG